UGGUCAACGAUGUCGAUUUGGAGGUUGUGCCCUUGAGGCGUGGCUUCCGAAGCUAACGCGUUAAAUCGACCGCCUGGGGAGUACGGCCGCAAGGUUAAAACUCAAAUGAAUUGACGGGGGCCCGCACAAGCGGUGGAGCAUGUGGUUUAAUUCGAUGCAACGCGAAGAACCUUACCUACUCUUGACAUCCAGCGAAUCCUGUAGAGAUACGGGAGUGCCUUCGGGAACGCUGAGACAGGUGCUGCAUGGCUGUCGUCAGCUCGUGUUGUGAAAUGUUGGGUUAAGUCCCGCAACGAGCGCAACCCUUAUCCUUUGUUGCCAGCGGUUCGGCCGGGAACUCAAAGGAGACUGCCAGUGAUAAACUGGAGGAAGGUGGGGAUGACGUCAAGUCAUCAUGGCCCUUACGAGUAGGGCUACACACGUGCUACAAUGGCGUAUACAAAGAGAAGCGAACUCGCGAGAGCAAGCGGACCUCAUAAAGUACGUCGUAGUCCGGAUUGGAGUCUGCAACUCGACUCCAUGAAGUCGGAAUCGCUAGUAAUCGUGGAUCAGAAUGCCACGGUGAAUACGUUCCCGGGCCUUGUACACACCGCCCGUCACACCAUGGGAGUGGGUUGCAAAAGAAGUAGGUAGCUUAACCUUCGGGAGGGCGCUUACCACUUUGUGAUUCAUGACUGGGGUGAAGUCGUCAUGG
RNAcentral lists this ribosomal RNA (694 nucleotides) under Edwardsiella sp. (in: enterobacteria). RNAcentral's name for it is "bacterial SSU rRNA". It matches the Rfam family "Bacterial small subunit ribosomal RNA", at positions 800 to 1495 of the family's 1533-position model. The record is from RNAcentral. Lineage: Bacteria; Pseudomonadati; Pseudomonadota; Gammaproteobacteria; Enterobacterales; Hafniaceae.